AUGACCGAAAGAUCUGGAGCAAGAAGGAAAGGGAGCCAAGGACCUGGGCCAUCCUCAAACUAGAUCAUUAGCUCCGGGGUAAUUAAGAAUAAUUGACUGUAUGUGUGACUCUAUCCAGAAAGGCCAGAAAGAGAUGAAAGGUAUAGGAAAUGAUGCGUAAGUAACAGGAUUUACGGGACUCUUAUUGUCAUGCACUCAACAAGCAUUAUUGAGCACCUACUGCAUGCCAGGGAUUGCGUUGUUCUCAACACAGAGGACACAUCCAGCAUUGAACAAUGCAGGCAAAGAUGCUACUAUCGCUGACAUGACCUUCUUGAAUGGCGAAGACAGACAAUAAACAAGAACAUAAAUAUUCAAGGAUCCCUGAUUUAUUGCCUCUACAAUGGGCGUUGCUGAUCACCUUGCCAGGGGUGCUCUGAGGAAUAACAGGUGGAGUCCCCUUGAAACUG
Lemur catta (Ring-tailed lemur) is the source of this 449-nucleotide long non-coding RNA. RefSeq lists it as uncharacterized. The transcript has 3 exons. NCBI's taxonomy places the organism in Eukaryota, Metazoa, Chordata, Mammalia, Primates, Lemuridae. The record is from RefSeq and is a predicted model, not a curated record.